RNAcentral lists this ribosomal RNA (429 nucleotides) under Chloroflexota bacterium. RNAcentral's name for it is "Chloroflexi bacterium partial 16S ribosomal RNA". It matches the Rfam family "Bacterial small subunit ribosomal RNA", at positions 355 to 776 of the family's 1533-position model. The record is from RNAcentral. Lineage: Bacteria; Bacillati; Chloroflexota.
UGGGGAAUAUUGCACAAUGGGCGCAAGCCUGAUGCAGCCAUGCCGCGUGUAUGAAGAAGGCCUUCGGGUUGUAAAGUACUUUCAGUCGGGAGGAAGGUGGUAAGGUUAAUAACCUUGGCAAUUGACGUUACCGACAGAAGAAGCACCGGCUAACUCCGUGCCAGCAGCCGCGGUAAUACGGAGGGUGCAAGCGUUAAUCGGAAUUACUGGGCGUAAAGCGCACGCAGGCGGUUGAUUGAGUCAGAUGUGAAAUCCCCGGGCUUAACCCGGGAAUUGCAUCUGAUACUGGUCAGCUAGAGUCUUGUAGAGGGGGGUAGAAUUCCAGGUGUAGCGGUGAAAUGCGUAGAGGUCUGGAGGAAUACCGGUGGCGAAGGCGGCCCCCUGGACAAAGACUGACGCUCAGGUGCGAAAGCGUGGGGAGCAAACAGG